UCGCAGAUGUGAAUUUUACAAAUGACGAAGAAGAAGAUGAAAGCUGAAAGGUAUAUGCUCUGAUACCAUAUUAGAGCCAAUAUGAACUAUGAAAUGCUGAAAUAUUAUUUAUCUGAAUUCACAUGGAAUGACUGAGUUUAUACAAUAUAAAUAGGCGCCAAAAGUAACUAACAAUACAACUAACAUCCAGCUGGCACAACUAACAUCCAGCUGGCACACUAACAUGCCAACCGUGUUCUAACCAUACAAAUGGUAUUGCUUCUAAUACGAUGCAGCAGCGCAGCCGGCAAUGGCACCAAUGAUGGUGGUGAUGUGGAGGAGGAUCAAGAAGAAGCCACAGAGCAAAGGGAUUAGUCGAAGGGAAAGGGUCAAGAAAAUGCAACUAGAGGCUGCACCUAAGAGUAUGUAAUUGCAUAAGACGAACACUUUGUGAGUGCGAGGAUGAGAUUCAUAAGAAUUUUCUAUGUAUAAUCCUCCCAUUUCUUGCAACUUUCUAAGAGAAUCUGGGAAAUUAGGGUUUGCUGAUGAGAAAUGGGGGGAAAAUGCAGAAUUCAAAGGCUGAUUUGCUUUAUGGAAU
This 577-nucleotide long non-coding RNA is filed under the name Olea europaea subsp. europaea. The record is from RNAcentral. Lineage: Eukaryota; Viridiplantae; Streptophyta; Magnoliopsida; Lamiales; Oleaceae.